RNAcentral lists this ribosomal RNA (160 nucleotides) under uncultured Tomentella. RNAcentral's name for it is "5.8S ribosomal RNA". It matches the Rfam family "5.8S ribosomal RNA". Rfam says of the family: 5.8S ribosomal RNA (5.8S rRNA) is a component of the large subunit of the eukaryotic ribosome. It is transcribed by RNA polymerase I as part of the 45S precursor that also contains 18S and 28S rRNA. Lineage: Eukaryota; Fungi; Basidiomycota; Agaricomycetes; Thelephorales; Thelephoraceae. The record is from RNAcentral.
CAACUUUCAGCAACGGAUCUCUUGGCUCUCGCAUCGAUGAAGAACGCAGCGAAAUGCGAUAAGUAAUGUGAAUUGCAGAAUUCAGUGAAUCAUCGAAUCUUUGAACGCACCUUGCGCCCUUUGGCUAUUCCGAAGGGCAUGCCUGUUUGAGUAUCAUGAA